CAUAUCAAUAAGCGGAGGAAAAGAAACCAACAGGGAUUGCCUCAGUAGCGGCGAGUGAAGCGGCAAGAGCUCAGAUUUGAAAUCGUGCUUUGCGGCACGAGUUGUAGAUUGCAGGUUGGAGUCUGUGUGGAAGGCGGUGUCCAAGUCCCUUGGAACAGGGCGCCCAGGAGGGUGAGAGCCCCGUGGGAUGCCGGCGGAAGCAGUGAGGCCCUUCUGACGAGUCGAGUUGUUUGGGAAU
This 238-nucleotide ribosomal RNA is filed under the name uncultured fungus. Its description in RNAcentral is "partial 26S ribosomal RNA". It matches the Rfam family "Eukaryotic large subunit ribosomal RNA", at positions 39 to 281 of the family's 3401-position model. The record is from RNAcentral. Lineage: Eukaryota; Fungi.